GAUUUCAAGGUUAUGGCAUGUCAGCAGCACCUUCACAGUUGUUUAAGCUGAUGUCUGCUCUCUGUACAGAUGCAGAAUCUGAGGUAUGUGAAAAUCUGUGAAGGAGCCUGCUAUUAUAGUACCAUUUGAAAAGGAGGAAGCAGGAAGCUAGGAGUGAACAAAGCAUAGGGUUGAUGGAUACAGUGCUCACAAAAUUGCCCCACCAUUGUCAUUGAUAUCACCUUUAAACAAGUUUUAGAGAACUGAAACCAGAUAUGAUGUGAAGUUAAAGAAACAGUUUAAUGGGGCCAAUGGACAGGACCUUCUGGCAGAUUAGCCGCUGGGGAUCCCAAUUGCUCACAGUAGCAGCUGUUGUCACUGAUUCUGUCACAAGCAGUGCUGAGCAGGAGUCAAGUCAUGCUGGGGAGAAGGUCCUCUCUGUUGG
Molecule: long non-coding RNA, 424 nt
Organism: Symphalangus syndactylus (siamang)
Lineage: Eukaryota; Metazoa; Chordata; Mammalia; Primates; Hylobatidae
Source: RefSeq, a predicted model, not a curated record